RNAcentral lists this long non-coding RNA (779 nucleotides) under Lathyrus oleraceus (garden pea). RNAcentral's name for it is "Pisum sativum (pea) long non-coding RNA (PSAT_LNC032403)". The record is from RNAcentral. Lineage: Eukaryota; Viridiplantae; Streptophyta; Magnoliopsida; Fabales; Fabaceae.
ACCAAUUUUCAUUCAUUGAAAAUCAUAAGAUUAUCCAAAAAAAACAUACAUAAUUACAAAAAUUGGCAUUUUGACCAAAUCCAACCCAUCCCCAAGAAUCCCAAGGAUCCUAACCCCUACUUUCUCUCUAUGUAUAUACAUUGAAGCACAUGGCAAAAUGUGAAAGAAAUUUGUUCUGUUAAAAAGAAUGGAACCAGAGAGACCAAUUCCACAAUGGCUUCUGUUUCUACACCAAGGCGCAGCAUUUGUUGAUUUAAGUCCACAUCCCUUUGCUGUUGUCGAUGCAGCUUAUAGGCUCAUGAUAAAUGAUGGAAUUAACCAGUCAAUUUUGUUGAUACACAAGAACCCUGCAAGAAAUCAACUGUCAGCUUGUUUGAAUAAAGCUAUGCAUCAAGAUAGAGGCAGAAGUUCUUACAGUGGAGCAAAGAAAUAGCAACAAAAUAGAAAGAAAAUUCUCGCAUCUCAAUUGCGAUUCCGAAUCGCGUUUUAGAGUGAGAAACAAGCAAUAAGAAGGUGAUACAAAAGAAGGCCUAGUUUUCCAGUGGACCGUUAUUAGAUCUUUUUUUGGCAAUUCUUCAAUAGCGGGCUUGCUACGCAUUGUUCACUAAUUGUGAGACCUUCACAUAUUGAAGAACAGUUGGGGAAGUUUGGUUACUAAUGACCCAUCUGUCAUAGAAAACACUUUAGAACAGUAUGGUGGUUUUGCAUAUCCAGACAACAAUAAUGUACUAUAAAGGCUUGAAAUUGUAGAUAAAUUCAUUUACCAAUUGGGGGACUUU